GUGUGUAUUUUGUGAAAUGCUA
This 22-nucleotide microRNA is filed under the name Tribolium castaneum (red flour beetle). RNAcentral describes it as "tca-miR-3853-5p". Lineage: Eukaryota; Metazoa; Arthropoda; Insecta; Coleoptera; Tenebrionidae. The record is from miRBase by way of RNAcentral.